Molecule: long non-coding RNA, 1826 nt
Organism: Triticum aestivum (bread wheat)
Lineage: Eukaryota; Viridiplantae; Streptophyta; Magnoliopsida; Poales; Poaceae
Exons: 3
Source: RefSeq, a predicted model, not a curated record
CCCUUCUCCAUGCUCGCCACCACCACCGUGCCGCCUCCUCCCCUUCGCGUUUCUCCUCCUCCCGCGUAGGAUCCAUGGCUCCAUGGCGGCUGUUGGCUCGAGAUGGGGGAGUGGCCGAUGCGGGGUCGGUUGGAUCGAGGCAGGGAGCGGCGGAUGCGGCGGCGGCGGCGGCACGAGAAGAGCGGCAGUGGCGGCGUCGACCUGCGAAGAGGCGAAAGGAGCGGUGGUGGCGGCGUCGAGCUGCGAAGAGGCGCCGCUCAGGCGCGAUAUCAUGGAGGCGGGAGCGGCUGCUUCGGGCUCCGAUUUGGGAGGGUACGAGACAGGGAAGGGCGACAUCGUCGCCGUCACAGCGCAUGGAGCCUGAGCCCUCGAUGAUGGGCGAUGACAAGGCCCCGCGACCGCGAUAGGGAGCUCCUCAUCCCCCGUCUCCGGCGGCGGCGGCGGGGGCUCGGUCCCCCGCGCCGGGGACGACGACGACGGCUUGGACAGGACCGUCGCCUCCCCCUCUGCCUCCGCCGCGCUCUCCUCCUCCAGCCGUGAGAAAAUUCGGAUCGGCGCUGAACCCGGACGAGGUCGCUGCAGUCAUCAGAGCCUCCUCCGCUGCGGGAGGCUAAGGGUGAGAGGAAGGAGGUGUCGUCAGCUCCAGAAGGAUCAGCAGCCCUCGUCGUCAACUGCAUAUGCCGAGGUCGCUGCUGGUGCUGCCGACUCUGCACCAGCCUCCUUCAUCUCCCAACCAAGGCCGGCUCAACCCCUCAAGAAGAGCAGGGAUGCUCUCUGUCUACACCCAGCAUCCACACAGCCAGAUCGACAGGGUUGAGCUCCUCCAUGAACCGAUUUCUUACCUUGCUGGUUGUGUCAUGGCAGUCAACAUUUGCUUGAUGAAUGUUUCAGUUUUACUACUGCUGCACCUCCCCACCAUGAGCUCGGCCUUCAGCCGUCACUGACACUGACUGUUUAUUCUUACUCCUUUCUCUAAUUCAUUUAUAUAUUUCAUGGGUAGGGUUUGGAUGGCUUGAUUAGAGCAGCCCAGUAGCCGUACCUCUGCAACUUCGCCAAUGUAUACAGUCAUCAGUACCAUCUCUUUACUGCACUUUUUACAUUCCAUUUUUUUGAGUUGUUUGAUUCAUUUUCUUUUCCAACUGAAUCAACUCUCCAGGUGGACGCAUAGCUCUCUAUAAGAAGAUCAAUCAUCGAUGACUUGCCGAUUUACAAGGCAUGUAAAAAAUAUAUACUUUCUAUGUGUUCUUUGGAUCAACUAAUGUGAGGUCGUUUCCUCUUAUUUCAUUGUUCUUGCCGCUGCAUAUAUGUCUUCAUGCAUCUGAAGUUCUGAACCACUAAAAAUUGCAGGAGAAAACAGAUUGGGGGGAUAUGAGGCUAUUGGUGUUUAUUCCUAAAUGAGGUAUUUCUGAGUUGGUUCACUCUGGAAAAAGGCUUUCCAUAAGGUGGUCCGCAGCUGGGCCUCAAAGAAAUUCAUGACUGGAUGGUAAGUCAUUUUACUAAGAUAAAUCCCACAAGAAAAGUCAUGUGAAACGGAUGGUAGAGCUGUAUGAUAUUGCCAGCAUUCAAAUUCAGUGAUUAUCGGCUAGGAAAUAAUUUUGGCAGAUUUUGUCAUAAGAUUGCCAGGAGCAUAGCUAAAUAGUUCGGAUAGUGACUCGGUGUGAUAUCUACUUUGGUUCUGGGUCUUAUCUCUUUUUUUGAAAAGAAUCAGCAUAAGAGAUCAAGGGAAUAUCAAAUAGGUCAUGCUUGGUGCAUCAUUUUGUAUUAUUCAACAACUAGAAUGGGUGGCAUGAACCCAGAGGAUAUGUGUGACCAUACUUUCCCCAGUU